RNAcentral lists this long non-coding RNA (327 nucleotides) under Brassica rapa (field mustard). RNAcentral describes it as "long non-coding RNA (BRAP_LNC004264)". The record is from RNAcentral. Lineage: Eukaryota; Viridiplantae; Streptophyta; Magnoliopsida; Brassicales; Brassicaceae.
ACAAACUUAACAACACAGAACAUGCCCUAAGAGAUUCAUACUAUUUCACGGAGUCAACGCUGAUAACAGCCGGAGGUUUUCCAAAAACAACGGGAACAGAAGCGUAGCGCAUAGAGAAGCUCCGAUACCCUCCGAAUCCAGCUUCAUCGUCCUCUUCGUCCUCCCCUUCAUCCUUAAAAUUCAAUUUAUAACUCGAAGUAUCGUACUUAUGUCUGGCGCUGUUGUCCCAGGCGCGGCCACGGCGUUGAUCGCGGUUAAACUGACGGAUAAAAGUCUUCCACCGUGGCCCAGCUACGAUCUCCGACCACUCUCGGAUCUUCAGAAUCG